RNAcentral lists this transfer RNA (77 nucleotides) under Ferrimonas balearica. RNAcentral's name for it is "tRNA-Ile". It matches the Rfam family "tRNA". Rfam says of the family: Transfer RNA (tRNA) molecules are approximately 80 nucleotides in length. Their secondary structure includes four short double-helical elements and three loops (D, anti-codon, and T loops). Further hydrogen bonds mediate the characteristic L-shaped molecular structure. tRNAs have two regions of fundamental functional importance: the anti-codon, which is responsible for specific mRNA codon recognition, and the 3' end, to which the tRNAs corresponding amino acid is attached (by aminoacyl-tRNA synthetases). tRNAs cope with the degeneracy of the genetic code in two manners: having more than one tRNA (with a specific anti-codon) for a particular amino acid; and 'wobble' base-pairing, i.e. permitting non-standard base-pairing at the 3rd anti-codon position. RNAcentral also lists the same sequence under 4 other names. Lineage: Bacteria; Pseudomonadati; Pseudomonadota; Gammaproteobacteria; Alteromonadales; Ferrimonadaceae. The record is from RNAcentral.
GGCCCCUUAGCUCAGUUGGUUAGAGCAGGCGACUCAUAAUCGCUUGGUCGCGGGUUCAAGUCCCUCAGGGGCCACCA